UACGUAGGGGGCAAGCGUUGUCCGGAUUUAUUGGGCGUAAAGCGCGUGUAGGCGGCCAACUAAGUCAGACGUGAAAUCCCUCGGCUUAACCGGGGAACUGCAUCUGAUACUGGAUGGCUUGAGUUCGGGAGAGGGAUGCGGAAUUCCAGGUGUAGCGGUGAAAUGCGUAGAUAUCUGGAGGAACACCGGUGGCGAAGGCGGCAUCCUGGACCGACACUGACGCUGAGGAGCGAAAGCCAGGGGAGCAAACGGG
RNAcentral lists this ribosomal RNA (253 nucleotides) under uncultured bacterium. Its description in RNAcentral is "partial 16S ribosomal RNA". It matches the Rfam family "Bacterial small subunit ribosomal RNA", at positions 524 to 776 of the family's 1533-position model. The record is from RNAcentral.